UCUCUACUAGUUGUCCCUAUGUAAUACUAGAUGGGUCAAUGCCCGUGAUGGAAUGUUUUCCACUCCAAGAAAGUGUAGUGGUCUUCCUCUCCGCUCUAGAUACUGAUGGUGGAAGCCUGAAUACAGCUGCAAACAUGAACGUCAAGGGAACUGUCAAUAUAGGGAAGAAUUGAUCAUCUUGCAUUACAUAGGAGGAGAUUAUCUUCAAGUAACUUGUAGUAACCCGCAUGGUUGCAUAUUAUAAUCAGUCCUUUACUAUGUACUUAGAAGGAAAAUAAUCUUCUAACAUCUGUUAAUAAAUCUUUUAUUUGGAGAUGGACUAUGUUUUAGCCAAAUUGAUGUACUAUUUUUCAGGAAAUAGAGAUACUUAAGUGGUUUCUCAUUAAUUCUAACCUUUCUUCCAAGGCAACCGCAAUUCGUCUAACUGUUGUAUCAAGAAAAAAUGGAUUUCUUACCUCAUAGACCAGCCAUGUGCAACCUGCUAGUGGAUGGUCAUGAGGACUAUGCUACUACUUUUAGCAAUGUCUUGAACUUUUCCAACAACCCUAAAAGCACUUGAGAAUCAAUAUCAAAUGUAGGUUCAUCAAGAAACAACAGAGAUAAUGUUAUAUCUAUAACAGGUUAUCUUAAAUACUUCGACUGAUAGUAGCCCCCAAGGCCUAGCUCAAGUGGCAGAAGGUGGAGGAUUUGUGGCUUAGGUCGCAGGUUCAAGCCCCACACCAUGCAAAGCGAAGCCCGGUAUUUAAGUGGAGAAGGGUAGAGGGGCGGGCCCAUUAUCCACCGAGUUUAGAAGGCUGUGAUUGGUCCAAAGGGCGGGUCACAGACGGAUUUCUCGGUUAUAAAAAAAAAAUAAAAAAAAAUACUUCGACUGAUAGUAGAACUUUUUCAGAUGUGUGGAUGAAAAAUGAAGAAAUCAGUGAGAUUUGGUUUCAUCACAUAUUUUGACCAACAAAUAGACAAACUUUUGCCGUCACUGGUGCAAAAUAUAAAUUUGAACUAACCUUGCCUCUCAGCGCAGCAUAUAGAAGGGCUCCAAAGCCACCUUCUUCAGUCUUAUUCAAAAUGCUGAAGUCAUACGAAAAAUCCAGACUUGUCCACAUGUAUGCCCAAAAGACGUUGUUGAAGCAUCAUCAUCAAAGUCAGUGACUUAGACCUUACUGAGAAGACAGGAUGGUAAUAAACUUAUAGACAGAGCAAUCACUCCCCAAUAUUGAUUUGUUAAUUACAGAAUAAAGACAAAUUAAACAACCUUCGGAAGACAAUCAAUAAGUAAAGAGACAUGUAGCGUUUAGAUGACCAAUACAAGUACAACAAUCCCUUUAAUAGUGAUUUUAUUACUGCCAAUAUGUAUGCAAUUUGUUAGUUCAUCUGAGAAACCAUUGGACACAAAUGAGAGGAAGCAAGACACCAACCAUGAAGUUAAAGUUUAAUAGUGAAUGAGAGUAAGUGGCUAUUCUAAAGAGCAUGGUUGAAAGAAUCUUCGGAAGAAUUUUUUUGUGAAAAAAAGCACUUCAACUAGCAGCUUCACUCAGAGGGUAAUUUGAACUUGAUAAAAUAAGUAUCCAUGGAUAAAAUAGGAUUUACAAAUAGAAGAUCCAUGACACCAACGACAUUUUAUAAUGCCUAUCGAUAUAUUGUAAUUCUUUCACUUGUUGUCCAUCAACUACACCUUUCAGCCUGAUCUUAGUCCCUGACUCACUCUCAAUGGACGAACCUUGCAGAGGAACACUUAGUUUUUCGGGGCGUUGGAUUUUCCCCAAUAAUGUUUGUGUUGCCAAGAUAACAUUUUACUAAAUCGUAUGGAUAUGUAAAAUAUAGGAUAUCCAAUCCUAGCAGGAAAGGGAAGGAAACAAAUACCCAAUUUAAAGUGAGUGAAUAUAAUUUCAUACUCCAUCUCAUAGAUACAUAUAGAGUGGAAAUUUGUAUUCGAUAAAAAUAUUAGGUGACUUUUGAAAGUAGUGAAUACUUGAUAAAACUGUUGAAAUGUGCACAUGCUAGUCCAGACAGGCUGACAUUGUCAUUAAGAAAAAUAAUAGGCAAACUAAGAGAAGUUAAGAGGGAAUAUUAUAAGCUUUCAAUUCUGCGUAAAUUCAAUGUCAACUUGAUGGAAAAAAUCAGGUGGUUCUUUAGGGAGAAAAAGUCAUCUAUAUUUGGUCGGUGAAAUUGCAACUUGGAAUAGUUUGUAUUAUCAUAGUGAGUAAUAUUCACUUUUUUGUGCUUUAUAUAUCAAUUGACCAAUUAUAAAAUUAUCUGCUCAGUAUGUGGUAUGCCAUUGUUGUCAAUUGAGUUUCCGCUGCCAGCAUCUUUCCUCAUAUUGAUUCCAAUUCUUCUUACUCAUCUACAAACAACUCACACAAAAAUCUCUAAACCUUCCACCAGGACCUCCAUCAUGGCCAUUGCUAGGAAAUAUUCUCCAGAUUGGAAAAAAUCCUCAUAUUUCCCUGGCACAAUUUGCCAAAAUUCAUGGGCCCUUAAUUUCUGUCAGGCUGGGGACUCAACUGGUUGUGGUAGCUUCAUCCCCUGAUUCCGCAGCUGAAAUCCUCAAAACUCAAGAUUGUCUUCUCUCAGCCCGGUCUGUGCCCAGCGUUGCUCCAUAUAAACUCUCUCUUAUUGAUCAACACUCAAUUGUUUGGUCCAGUGAUUUGAGCAAUCACUGGAAGUUCUUAUGCGCAUUUUGUCGGACACAUUUGUUCUCACCUAAAGCGGUAGAGUCACAGGCUGCUCUCAGAAAGAAAAAAAGUGUCUGAAAUGAUAUAUUUUCUUAGCUCCAAGAAAGGGGAAACUGUGAAAAUUUCUGAAACUGUUUGGUACCAUUUUAAAACGUUAGGGAACCUUUUUUUUCAAAAGAUUUAUGUGAUUUGGAUUAUGAAACGAAAACCAGUGGGAUCAAACUUGUUAUUAGAAAAUUGCUAGAGUUGGGAGCUAUGCCAAAUAUAUCAGAUUUCUAUCCUCUCUGGAUAUUCAGGAAUUGAGAAAGCAGACUGAAAUAUAUCAAAAAUGAUUGAGACUGAUAUGGUACAAUCUUAUUCUUCAAUUUCAGGAAUUAAUUAUUGCAGGUUCUGACACCACUUCCUCAACAAUUGAAUGGACAAUGACAGAAUUGCUAAGGAACAAAAGCGCUAUGCACAAACUUCAAGCUGAGCUUACAAGCAAGACCGGAGAAACUGAUAUAAUCACAGAAUCAAACAUCAGUGAACUUCCAUAUUUGGCUGCUUGUGUCAAGGAAACAUUGAGAAUCCAUCUGCCUACUCCCUUCUUGAUUCUUCGUCGUGCUCCUGAGACGUGUAAGAUUAUGGAUUACUCCAUCCCAAAGAACUCGAGGUUAUUUGUGAAUGUUUGGGCAAUAGGGCGCGACUCUAAAACAUGGGAAGAUGCAUUAUGUUUCCGGGCUGAGUGGUUUCUUGACUCGAAUGUAGACUUGAGGGGUCAAUAUUUUGAGUUCAUACCAUUUGGUGCAGGGAGGAGAAUAUGCCCUGACUUACCCUUUGCUAGACAAGAAGUUCACUUGAUUUUAGCUAGUUUGAUCCAUCACUUUAAGUGGUCACUACCCAAUGAUGAGGAUCCAAAGCAGUUAGAUAUGAAAGAAAAGUUUGGUGUUACUCUACAGAAAGAAAAGUCUCUACUGGUUGUUCCUAUAUAAUAUGUGUAUCUUUUUUUCCCUCCCCAUAUACCAUAUGUACCUUCACUUACAGAUUGUUAUAGCAAUGGUUUGAUAGAUUGCAUUAUUUUCUAUUGUUACAUAAUGUCACAUAUAUAAUUUGAAUGAUAAACAUACGAGAAAAGUAGAGUAUAAAAUAGAGCUAUUAUAAAAAGGUAGGGUAAAAGAUAAAAUAUGAUUAUUGAAUUAAUAAUAAGUAAAGAUAAAAUAAGAAGAAAAUAUUAAGGUAACUAUGUGAUUACAUCAAAUCGGUUGAUAUGCAAAAUGAAACUUUUUGUUAUUAUCUAACAAUGCAUUUAAUGAUACGAUACAAAAAAUUUAAAUAGCAAUCAAAACAAGCAUUAUAUUUAAACUAAUAGUACAAUACAAUACAACGGGUACCAAUCAUCCAAACAAGGUAUUUUUUUAAAUGGAGGGAGUGCAAUUAGUUGCACAUUAUUUAAUUAAUAAUACAAAAUAGCUAAAGGGUCAAUUUCAAAUAUAUACAAUAUAGUAAUUAGUUUACAAUAGAUAUAGUCAUGCUUUAUUUACCUAAAAAAAUUGUUAAAAGUCAAAAAAAAAAAAAGUAAUAACACAAACUAUACAAUAUAGUUUGCAAAGUAAAAAAAAAAAAUACACAUUGACUACACAGCAUGGCUUACCUAUCAAACUAUUCAUGAAGUAUACACUAACUAUACAUAAAGUUACACUGACUAUUCAAUCUCGAUCAACUCAAAAUCACCUCUAAAUAGUUUCAAAUUUUAGAUAUGAAAUUUUCUCAAUGUUUUAAGUUUUUUGAUAUAAAAAUUCAUUCGAAAUAAUUCAUGUUUACGAUAGGCUGAAUUUUUUUAAUUUUUUUAAAAGAAUAAGAAUAAUGAAGAAGAAGAAGAACAGCAGAAAAAGAAUAAGAAUAGAAAAGACCAAUAGAAGAAGAAUGAAGAAUAGUAGAAGAAGAAGAACGUUUUUCAAACAUAUUUGGCUGAAAGGAGUCCCUUAUAAAGUGUCAUUCUUUAUAUGGAGUUUGUGGAAGCAAAGGAUCCCUAUUGGAGAAGUGCUGGUGAAGAACAGAAUGCCUGAUAAUGUGAUAUGUGUUUGUUGUAGACGGGGGGUCUCAGAGUCUAUAGAACAUUUAUUCAUACAUUGUAACUUUUCUAGUAGACUAUGGGCUAUUAUUGCAGCUGCAACAGGGAUUGAUGGUCCUUUCAUUCAAUUGAAAGACACAUUACUGAAGUGUUGGAAGGCAGAGAUGACACCCAAGCUUAAAUACAUAUACAAGACAGUACUUCUGUUCAUUUUGUGGCAAAUUUGGAAAAGAAGAAACAUUAUCAAACAUGGUGGGAAGAUGACACAAUCUACUAUGACUUUGGAGAUUGGGAGAAACUUACACCUAUGGCAAGAUGUUUAUAUCCUUGGUUGAAGGACAUAACAACUUCUUGGCUUAUGCUAGUGAAGUUCAUGGAAGAUUACACUCUUAUUCUAGUUUAUAAGGUGGUGAAAUGGAUUAAGCCUACAAUUGGUUUUAAAUGUAAUUCUGAUGGUGCUUUUAAAGGAAAUCCAGGGCCUAGUUUUGGAGCCUUUUGCAUUAGGGAUGUGGAAGGUAACUUUGUAUAUGUUGAAGUAAAGAGGCUGGAGGAAAAUAACAAUUUAAAGGCAGAGAUCAGUGCUAUCAAAAUGGGACUGGAAUUUUGCAUUGCAAAAGAAUUACUUCAUGUUACUCUUGAAACAGAUUCCCUUACUAUGAAGAAGAUGAUAGAGGGGGAAUGAGAGGUCGCAUGAAGUGUAUCAGAAAAAUAAGGUACUUAAUGAAGGAAAGAGAGAUUGUGGUUGAUCACAUUUUCAGAGAAGGCAACAAGGUUGCGGAUUUUUUAGCUAACUAUGUUUUCUAUUUUGCAGGUACACAAAGUGUUACAUUCUCAACUUUUCGGGAACUACCAAAUGAGGUGAAAGUUCUAGUAAGCAUGGAUAAAGCAGGGGCAGCAAACUUGAGAUUCAGAAAAAUACAAAACAGAAAUUAUGGUUACUGUGAUAAGAAUUCUAAUGCACAAUAAGGAAACACCAACAGUAGCUUAAGGAAAAGCACAGAGACAAGAAAACAUAAUGGGGCGCACAAAUCAUACAAAUAUGAAUCUUCAGUGCUGCAAUGAUUUACAAGAACGAUCUUUUAGCAAAAUGGAUAGGAUUUACCUGGCCUAUGCAGUGGUAUUAGUUAGUUUCUGGCUCAAUCUGCAAGAAAGGGUAAAUCUUAGAAAUGGAGUUCAAGGAUCAGAUAUCUGCUUAAUUGCGAGUUAAGAAGUAGAUCGAUUCAUACCUGCGUUGCUCAAGCUGUGUUGAAGAGUUAUUCAAUGGGAGUCGUUUCCAUGUCAUUCGUGAGAUUUAGAGUGUACUGAGUGGAAACGAUCCAAACUCAGCUAGUUGCAGCCAUAUAUGAAUCAAUUUCUCUAAAAGGAAUACGUUGCUUCUUCGUCCUCCAUGGCAGGUGAAUCUCAAGCAAGAAGAAGAUCAGUUCUAGUUUAGUUUUCCCUUUCCUUUUUUGGUUUUCUUAACUUUCU
This 6186-nucleotide long non-coding RNA is filed under the name Solanum tuberosum (potato). RNAcentral describes it as "long non-coding RNA (STUB_LNC003893)". Lineage: Eukaryota; Viridiplantae; Streptophyta; Magnoliopsida; Solanales; Solanaceae. The record is from RNAcentral.